RNAcentral lists this long non-coding RNA (705 nucleotides) under Olea europaea subsp. europaea. Lineage: Eukaryota; Viridiplantae; Streptophyta; Magnoliopsida; Lamiales; Oleaceae. The record is from RNAcentral.
AUAUAGCAGCUCAAAUUUAUCUGCUUCAGCGCCAGCCUCUGCAGUGUUCUGUGAGAAAUACUUGCUCUAUUGUGCUGCUCACGAGCACACGCACACACACACGGUGACAGUGCAGACGAUUUUCUUAUAGUUUUCAAUUCUAUCUAUGCACCAAUAAGUUUUUUUGCAUGUUUUUUUCCUUGUGCAUAAUCAUUUUCUUAUUCUAAUUUCUUUUGAAAUGUUUCGAUUAAGAAUAAAACAUGGCAAUUUGAAUGUUAAAAGUUUUGGAAUAGGCAUGUUGUAUGCUUUUGAUAGUAUUGAUUUAUUCUUGAUUGAAUGACAAUUGAUGUGAAAAAAGAAAGCAUUAUUUUUAGUGGAAAUGCAGAAGUAAAAGAAUAUUGUGGGCUAUAGAGAUUUGGGCAUAAUCUUUGGGUAGAUGUUGUGUAUUCCUGUACCAGACUUCACAAAUUGGUCUGUAAAUGUUGGGAUGUGUAAUUGAAGAAAAUGUGAAGGAUACCAUUUUGUUGGUCUUGUUUGAUUGCUCUUAAGGGGAAAGUAGGACAGAAGCGAAUGCUAUCCUAGGACAUCAACACCGGUUAGAAAUAUUGGCACUUGUUAUUUGUAUUAAAUAUUGUUUUCUAGAAACCAUUUCAAUAACUGAUCCUGGCUAUUGAAAAUGGAGAUUACAGUUGAACAUCAACGUGUUUGUUUAUUUCAGAGAAUGGA